Andrographis paniculata is the source of this 2649-nucleotide RNA transcript. RefSeq lists it as uncharacterized. NCBI's taxonomy places the organism in Eukaryota, Viridiplantae, Streptophyta, Magnoliopsida, Lamiales, Acanthaceae. The transcript is spliced from 13 exons. The record is from RefSeq and is a predicted model, not a curated record.
GUUGAUUGUAUGGGGUGGGGUUGUUUAUUCUUGUGAAUUUGGGUGGGGGUGUGUGUGAACUUUGAAGAGGGGAGGUGGAGAGUGCUAUGCAGGCAGCAAUGGUGGUUUGGUUUGAUUUCAUUUCAUUUCAUUUCAGAUCCAAAUAAGGAAAGCGUUUUGUUGAUAAGCAGCAGGCAGGGGUGGACGGACGGGCAAUGCAUACACAAUGAAUGAUACAAGUACAGUACAGUACAAUACAAUACAAUACGUGAAGCCGCCUGCCUCCUCCAUUCUUUUUACUUUACUGCUACUAGUAAGAUGGGCGUGGGCAUGGGCAUCAGCCCUUUCAAAAAGCAAAGAGCCAGCAAUAGCAUAGCCAAAGCAUGAAUGUAUGUAUGUAUGUGUGUAUAGGGGAUGUGGUUGGAAAAACGCUAUAAAAGUUAUUUGUUUGCUGGGUGGUGUGCUGUGCUGUGCUGUGCUGGUGUGUGGUCGGUCCGGUCCGUCCACGUUCCAGUGCGAUCAACAGCUGCUAGCCUGCUGCUGCAGUGAGUGAGUGCUGACACGGUGACACCCUCUCUCUCUCUCUCCCCCCCUCUCCCUCUCUCCCUCUAUAUAUAUAUAUAUAUAUAUAUAUAUCCAUCCAUCUAUCGAGUGACGAGGAAUUUUGGGGGAGUGGUUGAGCAAGAGCAAAAGAACAAAGGAAGAAGGGAGGCAGGAGAAUCAAAUCAAUAAUGGGCACGAGAACGAAUCUCUACAAAACCCCCUCCCGUGCCUACAACAAGCACCUUAAUCUCAAUUCCGUCCUUCAAAACCUCAACACCUACAAUAUUGCUACUGGAAAUGCCGUUUCCGAUCAACCAGCGCCACACAUCCCUAAAAAACCCCGCCUUGACUCUACCUCGGCGCUUCAUCUACGGAACCAGCUCACAAAGGACAACGACCGUCCUAUGACACAUCAGGAAUACAUAGAUAAACGCAGGAAGGAAGCUGAUUUUUCUCAACCAUACCAGGAGUUAACUCCCUCUGUGCUGGAAAGCUCAACUUCAAAUUCCAAUUUGGUGGGCUAUGAAAGUGAUGACAGUGCUUCUGCAGGAUGCAAAGAGGAUGAUGUUUCUUUAACUGUCAAUGAGGAACCAUAUUCUAGGAAUGCAAUGCAGUACUUUGGAAUUCCUGGCAACAUAGACGAGGUUGAUCAUAUCAAGACACGAGCUGAGCAACGGUAUCCUUCUCAAGAAGAACCUGUAUGUGUUGUUUGCAGGAAAUAUGGCGAGUACAUAUGCAGUGAGACUAAUGACGACAUAUGCAGCAUGGAAUGCAAGUCUGAACUUCUGCAGGGCCUUAAAUCUAAGCAGGAAUUCCAAGGUAGCCCAUCCCUUGCUGAACCAUUGUCUACACACAGCUGCUCAUUGGGGGUGCCAGAAUCUGGAGGGGCCACUUGGGACUAUGAUCGGCAUUGCUGGUCCAAAAAGCAAUCUGGGUUUUGUACUUAUGAAUGCUGGAAGUGUCAUAAGCCUGGGCAUCUUGCAGAAGACUGUUUGGUGCUGACAUCUUUCUAUGAAUUAAGACAAGCUGGUGAAGCAUGCAAUGAUGUACCACUGGUUCAAAAGAAAUCCAAUACAAUAUCAAGAGAUCUUCUUGACUUGUAUAACAGAUGCCACCAAGUUGGAAAAACGUUCUUGUCUGCAAAGUGCAAUUCAUGUCGUGGAUCAACCACUUUAGCCGCAUGUCUAUCCUGUGAUAAUUCCUUUUGUGACUGGGUGUUAUUAAUUGGGUCUUCUUGCUUUGGAGCUUUGUGGGUACAUUCAAGCUCCUUCCAACUGUGGCCCAGUCCAUGUCAUCUGUCCGCCAACAUACCGUCUAGUAUCUGUUAAAAGGCACAUUUUGAUAUUAGGAUCCAUGACAACUCAAUUGGUUUCCCAUCAACCAUGUCAAUAUCACGUAAGAAAUCAAGGGCCUAUUUGUAUUGGGAGAUAUGAUGCCCAUAGAUGAAAGAGAAUUGAGCAACCAUAAUCCCAAGGAACUAACUUCCCCAAGUUGUUAGUUGAAAGUAGUGGAACAAGUGGUAAUGAAAAUCAUCCUCGUCGUUGUCAAUAAUAACAACAUUAUCAACAUAAAAAACAAGAUAAAUAAUAUUGUCUGCCAAGGUAUGUUUAUAAAAGACAACUAUCAAAUUCAAUCUAGAGCAUCCCCUCAUUGUUGGUUGAUAGUACUGAGCCAUUUAAAUGAGGCAUGAGUGAACUGCUUCAAGCCAUAUAAAGAGCGGCUGAGUUCCAUACUAGUCCAACUUACUCCGGAUCAUUAGAAUCAAGAGGUUGCUCUAUGUAAAUCUCCUUCUAAAGCUUACUAUGUAAGAAAGUGUUCACAAUGUGUAGUUGAUGCUGGUGAAUUGCAUAUAGAAUCUAGAGAAAUAAGUAGGUAAACAAAGGAAAUCUUGGCUACUAAAGAAGAGGUGCUGUGUAUUGACCUUAAAUUUAAGUAUAAUGCUUGGCAAAUGGCAACCACGCAGGCCUUGAGAUUAUCAGCUUACCGUCAAGACCAAUGGCAAUGCAGGCCAUUUGAGUGAGCAUAUCUGGGAGCAUCCAACUCAUCAGCAAUAUUACUCAUUUAAGCUUAAUCGUUUGGUAGUGAUUCAUCUGUUUACGUUUUCACUUUACUUCAGUUGACGCAUCU